AGGUAGUAAUCUUUUUGAAUUUAAACCUUUUUAAUACGGCGGCAUUUUACUUUUAUAGAGGAACUUGUUUCCUAAUCGAUAAUACCCGUUAAAUUUAACUUAAUCACACAAUUUAUAUACCGCCAUAAAGAACCAAUUACCAAUCAAUUCUAAAUAUAAUAUAAAAUUUUAGGUAAAGGUGUAAUCAACCAUUAAGAAGAAAUGAGUUACAAUUAAUAUAAUUUAUGGAUUAUAUAAUAAAUUUUUUAAAUAAAAAGGAUUUAAUUGUAAAAAUUAAUUAUAAUUAACUUUGAAUAAAGAAAAAAAUGUGU
This 311-nucleotide ribosomal RNA is filed under the name Xevioso orthomeles. RNAcentral's name for it is "partial 12S ribosomal RNA". The record is from RNAcentral. Lineage: Eukaryota; Metazoa; Arthropoda; Arachnida; Araneae; Phyxelididae.